This 253-nucleotide ribosomal RNA is filed under the name uncultured bacterium. Its description in RNAcentral is "partial 16S ribosomal RNA". It matches the Rfam family "Bacterial small subunit ribosomal RNA", at positions 524 to 776 of the family's 1533-position model. The record is from RNAcentral.
UACGUAGGGGGCAAGCGUUAUCCGGAUUUACUGGGUGUAAAGGGAGCGCAGACGGAUGGAUAAGUCUGAAGUGAAAGCCCGCGGCUCAACUGCGGGACUGCUUUGGAAACUGUGCAUCUUGAGUACGGGAGGGGCAGGCGGAAUUCCUGGUGUAGCGGUGAAAUGCGUAGAUAUCAGGAGGAACACCGGCGGCGAAGGCGGCCUGCUGGACCGAAACUGACGUUGAGGCUCGAAAGCGUGGGGAGCAAACAGG